CGCCCCUCGAGAACUAUACAUGAGGGGUCCUGCCUGCCCAGUGACCAAGGUUAAACGGCCGCGGUAUCUUGACCGUGCAAAGGUAGCAUAAUCACUUGUCUCCUAAAUAGAGACUGGUAUGAAUGGCAAGACGGAGCUAAACUGUCUCUUUUUUUCAACCCUAAAUUUACUUUCACGUGAAGAGGCGUGAAUAAAAUCGUUAGACGAGAAGACCCUGUCGAGCUUAAAGUAAAAAAUAAGACCAUUUUAUUAACCUAAAAAUACUAAUUAAUAAAUUUAUAGUAACUAGAUUUUAACGUUCUUAUCAAAACUUUGGUUGGGGCAACCGCGGAAAAAGAAAAUCUUCCGCUAAAAUUAUUAAAACAAGGAAAACUAUCCUAAUAUCAAAAAUGAAAUAGUGAUCCACUCAGGUGAUCAAAGGAACAAGUUACCGCAGGGAUAACAGCGUUAUCUUUUUUGAGAGUUCACAUUGACAAAAAGGUUUGCGACCUCGAUGUUGGAUCGGGACAUCCUAAGGGUGCAGAAGCUUUUAAGGGUUGGUCUGUUCGACCAUUAAAGUCCUACGUGAUCUGAGUUCAGACCGGCGAAAGC
Molecule: ribosomal RNA, 591 nt
Filed under: Salmaciella oligopora
Lineage: Eukaryota; Metazoa; Echinodermata; Echinoidea; Temnopleuroida; Temnopleuridae
Description: partial 16S ribosomal RNA
Rfam family: Bacterial large subunit ribosomal RNA
Source: RNAcentral